GACGAACGCUGGCGGCGUGCUUAACACAUGCAAGUCGAACGGAAAGGCCCUGCUUUUGUGGGGUGCUCGAGUGGCGAACGGGUGAGUAACACGUGAGUAACCUGCCCUUGACUUUGGGAUAACUUCAGGAAACUGGGGCUCAUACCGGAUAGGAGCUCCUGCUGCAUGGUGGGGGUUGGAAAGUUUCGGCGGUUGGGGAUGGACUCGCGGCUUAUCCGCUUGUUGGUGGGGUAGUGGCUUACCAAGGGUUUGACGGGUAGCCGGCCUGAGAGGGUUACCGGCCACAAUGGGACUGAGAUACGGCGCAGACUCCUACGGGAGGCAGCAGUGGGGAAUAUUGCACAAUGGGCGGAAGCCUGAUGCAGCAACGCCGCGUGCGGGAUGACGGCCUUCGGGUUGUAAACCGCUGUCGCCUGUGACGAAGCGUGAGUGACGGUAAUGGGUAAAGAAGCACCGGCUAACUACGUG
Molecule: ribosomal RNA, 468 nt
Filed under: uncultured bacterium
Lineage: Bacteria
Description: partial 16S ribosomal RNA
Rfam family: Bacterial small subunit ribosomal RNA
Source: RNAcentral